This is a non-coding RNA of Pantherophis guttatus, 3984 nucleotides long. NCBI's taxonomy places the organism in Eukaryota, Metazoa, Chordata, Lepidosauria, Squamata, Colubridae. The record is from RefSeq and is a predicted model, not a curated record.
GGAUUUAGUCUCUUGGAAGUGAUCUGGAGAUUUAGGAAACCCUAAUCUUGAAUUUAUUUUUAAUAACUUGAUAGGAUCUUAACGAAAAUCCCACUCUCAACAUUAUUGUGUUACAUAUGGUGAUUUGGCCUUAGCUUGUGGAAUGUGUAGGUUGAAAACCAAAAAUUUAUUUGCUAGCUAUCAGGUGACUUAUUGUGGAGAACCAAAUACCACUAUAUGCAAAAUACUGCUGAUACUAAAAAGGUCCUGAAAUACUCAGUAAUCUCUUGCUCACCAGCAAUAAUUUCAAAUGACAACAUUCAAAUGCAGUCAAUUUUGAAUUCAAUUUCACCAGUCUUAUUUUGACUUUAAAAAUUGUAUCCUAUAUAAAAAUAGAUCCAUAAUAGAGUUAAUAAUUUGCUGGUAUUUAAGGGACAUUCUUGUAUAAUUUUAAAUAAAGAUACAGCCUAUUAAAUACAUUAUUGGAGUUCAGGUGAAGAUUGAUAAAGCAUCAACAGUUUUAGAAAUAUCCCAUGUAGAUUAUUCAUUAUUUUUUUUACAGAAGAAUAGUUGUGAUGUCCUUUGCUAAUUAAUGCACUUAUUCAUGUUAUACAUUUUAGUCAACACUAGAAUAAGAUAAAUGGCAUUUAUUUAUUUUUAUUUGAAAAAUGAAAAUAAAGGUUCCAGGCUUGAUACAAAAUGAACAAUAAAACUAAAUGGGACACAAUCAGAAAUAUAUAUUAAAUGGGUUUGUGUGUGUAUUGAAGCAAAUUUGAAUUUGUCUUGCAGAGUUUUUCAGAGCUUGGUGUUAAUUAUUUGGCCUAAUAAUUUUUACUUUUCUAUAUAUAGGUAGUCCUCGAUUUACAACAGUUCAUUUAGUAACCGUUCAGUUACAACAUUACUGAAAAAAGUGACAUGACCGUUCUUCACACGACCAUUGUAGCAUCCCCAGGGUCACAUGAUCAAAAUUCAGAUGCUUGGCAAUUGACUCCUAUUUAUGAUGGUUGCAGUGUCCAGGGGUCAUGUGAUCACCUUUUGCAACCUUACAAGCAAAAUCAAUAGGGAAACUAGAUUCACUUAACAACUGUGUUAUUAACUUACCAAUUGCAGUGAGUGACUUAACAACUGUGUCGAGAAAAGUCGUACAAUGGGGCAAAACACACUUAACAAAUGCUUCACUUAGCAACAGAAAUUUUGGGUCUAAUUGUGGUCGUAAAUUGAAGACUACCUGUAUUACUGGGAAAUAGAGAUGGGAACCAACCUAAAGUUCCUUUGUGAAAUAUUUGUGGGUAUUUUUUCCCCCAAUUUCUUCAAAAUCAUUCAGUCAAAAGCAAUUGUUGUUACCAAAAAAUAGUAAUACACUCCAUUUGGUUUCUAUUAGUUGCUAUUUCUGACUGAAGGAAUUCCCAGAUAUUCCAAACAAUUAGCAAAUCCAAUCUCAGCUUCAUAAUUUUAUCAGUCAGUACAUUAAUUAAUUAUUCAUGUGAGAUAGGCUGAGCUGAGUGAGCCAGUUUGGUGUGCUUAAGAUGUUAGGCUAAAAACUGGGAAACUUCUAGUUCUGUCUUGGACAUGAAGCCAGUUGGGUGACCUUGGGACACACUGCAGGGACUAGCUACGUAGGCAGUUGCCAAGAAUCAAUGCUGACCGAUGGCACAGCAAAAAAAAAGCUGAGCUGAGUGCAACUCAGAGUCAUCCAAUGAAUUUCAGUGGUUGACGAGGAAGCUUAAACUUGAAUCUCCUCAUUGCUGUACCUUUACUUUUAAGCAGCACUGCAUCGGCUUUUAGUUUACAAGUUAUUUUAUAAAUUUGAGUCACUGGAGAGAUCAUUAUAGGAUUUCUUUGGCUUCUGGAGAAAUGUCAUGUCAUGAGCAUACACACCAAAAAGCUGGAUGCUGAAUAAGUUCCUGGAAUUGAUCUUAACCUAAAAAUAACUGCUGAAUGCUUAUAAUCUAUAUGCUACUAAAACUCAUUAUGACCUUUGAGUGAAACAGUGCAUCAUAGGGCAAGAACUUUUGAACCAAGGUACCCCAAAUAGGAUAAAUUACAGUAUAGUAUGCCUCCAAAUCUGGGACCUAUGAUUCCCAAGAGAAUGAAAUUUGGGGAAGUUGUGACUGCUUCAGUACUACUGGCUGCUACUGCAGUCACAUGAUCUUCAUUUUCAAUUUUCCAGCCAGUCUUGCAAUCCAUCGUUCCUUCCCCCAUCCAGCAGCAACCACUUAACCUGUUUGCUGGGAAGGGAUAUUUCUGAUGCUCCCUGCCAGAUUCCCACAAGGAAACAAGAUGGGGAAGCUAGCAGGAAGUCAAAAAUUGCUCUUGCUCCCACUCCUUUGUCCUCCCUCCCAUUCUGGUUGUGUGUCUAGGUAAAGAAAUACAGGUAGUCCUCAACUUACAACAGUUCAUUUAGUGACAGUUCGAAGUUACAACAGCACUGAAAAAAAUGACUUAUGGUAAUUUUUCAUACUUAAUGGCCAUUGCAGCAUCCCCAUGGUCAUGUGAUUUACACUGGAUACUUAACAAUUGACUCGUAUGACAAUUGCAGUGCCCUGGGGUCAUGUGAUCUCCUUUUGCAACCUUCUGACAAAGUCAACAGGAGAGCCAGAUUCACUUAACAAUUGUGUUACUAAUUUAAGAACAGUGAUUCACUUAACAACUGUAGAACAACCGGGAAGCUGCAACCAUUGUAAAUACAUUCCUGUCUCCAAGGGCCCCAAUUUUGGCCAUGUGGCCAUGGGGAUGCUGCUAUGGUCAUGUGAUUAUUGAUAGUAAGUCACUUUUUUCAGUGCCAUUGUAACUUUGAACAGCCACUAAACAAACAGUUGUAAAUCAAAAACUAUGACCGUGAUAGCAAGUUUUAGACAAUUAUUCAAUUACAGCUAGUCCUAAUUUAAUGACUACAAUUGAGAUCUUCAACAUAGUUGUUAGAGGAAGCAGCCAUGACUAUUAUGUUCUUAUUUCAGCUUUCUUUUGCUUUACAGACCUGCAAAAAUAGUAAAUGCAAGGAUUGGUUCUUAAGUGACUUUUUCAUCAUUUACAUGACUGAAUGGUGGCUAAAUGCAGUGCUAAAGGAGAGCUACCUGUAUAUAUUAACUACCUGAAUACUACCUGUAUUCAGAUACAGUAUCAGCAUUUAUCUGUUUUCUAAUAUAAUUGCUAACAGUGUCCCUGGAUGAGACAGCAGCCGUUGAGUGGAGACUUUUCAGAGGGAGAUCCAAACUUGAAAUUUUUCCAUCUUUGAGAAAGCUAGUCAAGAGCAGAAUAGCCUGCCUCCUGAGUUCUGGAUGCUCCAUAACUUAGAUUUUCAAAUGUGUGACAACCAUUUAUAUGGGAUGGUAUGAGGAUUCCUGCCAUGAACAGAUGUAAGGACUAAUCUUGAAGGUCUCUUCAGAGACAGGGUUUGUUUAAAAACAAUAAAUACAGCAUGGUUAGUUCAGGACCCUUAAUAGUGAUUCAUUGCUGAUAUUUUGUAAUAGUUUAGUACACGGGUGUCAAAUUUGAUCCCGUCAUGGGCCGGAUCGUGAUGUAUCAUGUUUUUUGCCUUUGUGGAGCUGGGGUGGGCAUAGUCUGCAUGUGACCUAUCCGGCCUGCGGGCCUCCAGUUUAACAGGCCUGGUCUAGUACAAUGUAGGCCCAUAAUGGGAAACAACUUUAUAAUAUGGAAAUUCCUCUGUGAUAGGACUGUAUUUUGGAUAUAUUUUCUUAUACAGAACAAAAAAGAGAAAGUGGAUGUGUAUUUUGAGGAAAAAAAUAAUUAAGUACAACACUGCAUUUAAAAAGUUUUGGAGAUUCUUUUUCUAUCUUCUCCCAUUAAACCUCCUCCAUUGAGCAUCUGUGUUUGUACAUGUAGUCAGCAUUGUGCACAUGGCAACAGCAUAAACCUGUAGAAUUCUAAUGUGAUUCUAUUGUUACUACAAAAGCAAUUACUCAAAACUGUUCUGUAGUUCACUCACAUUUAUUUUCAAAUAAAUAGAGGUAUGCAGGCAAUUAAAAUUAAAUGCCAAUUCAGCAA